Molecule: ribosomal RNA, 238 nt
Filed under: Shigella sp. FC1967
Lineage: Bacteria; Pseudomonadati; Pseudomonadota; Gammaproteobacteria; Enterobacterales; Enterobacteriaceae
Description: partial 23S ribosomal RNA
Rfam family: Bacterial large subunit ribosomal RNA
Source: RNAcentral
GACGCCAGUCUGCAUGGAGUCAACCUUGAAAUACCACCCUUUAACGUUUGAUGUUCUAACCUAGGUCCAUAAUCUGGAUCGGGGACCGUGUCUGGUGGGGUAGUUUGACUGGGGCGGUCUCCUCCUAAAGAGUAACGGAGGAGCACGAAGGUUGGCUAAGCAUGGUCGGACAUCAUGCGGUUAGUGCAAAGGCAUAAGCCAGCUUGACUGUGAGAGUGACGGCUCGAGCAGGUACGAA